UUGAAAAAAAGUCUUUGGGCUCAAGGC
RNAcentral lists this non-coding RNA (27 nucleotides) under Rattus norvegicus (Norway rat). The record is from RNAcentral. Lineage: Eukaryota; Metazoa; Chordata; Mammalia; Rodentia; Muridae.